GACGAACGCUGGCGGCGUGCUUAACACAUGCAAGUCGAACGGAAAGGCCCUGCUUUUGUGGGGUGCUCGAGUGGCGAACGGGUGAGUAACACGUGAGUAACCUGCCCUUGACUUUGGGAUAACUUCAGGAAACUGGGGCUAAUACCGGAUAGGAGCUCCUGCUGCAUGGUGGGGGUUGGAAAGUUUCGGCGGUUGGGGAUGGACUCGCGGCUUAUCAGCUUGUUGGUGGGGUAGUGGCUUACCAAGGCUUUGACGGGUAGCUGGCCUGAGAGGGUGACCGGCCACAUUGGGACUGAGAUACGGCCCAGACUCCUACGGGAGGCAGCAGUGGGGAAUAUUGCACAAUGGGCGGAAGCCUGAUGCAGCAACGCCGCGUGCGGGAUGACGGCCUUCGGGUUGUAAACCGCUUUCGCCUGUGACGAAGCGUGAGUGACGGUAAUGGGUAAAGAAGCACCGGCUAACUAUGUG
This 468-nucleotide ribosomal RNA is filed under the name uncultured bacterium. Its description in RNAcentral is "partial 16S ribosomal RNA". It matches the Rfam family "Bacterial small subunit ribosomal RNA", at positions 28 to 507 of the family's 1533-position model. The record is from RNAcentral.